AGGCUUUGGCAGCACAUUUAUUAAAGUGGAACUAUAUAGAGGAGACUGGCAUGGGCCAGCAUAAAGAUGCCACAAAACUUCACAAAGCAUUUUAUGUAUGU
RNAcentral lists this small nuclear RNA (101 nucleotides) under Vulpes vulpes (red fox). The record is from RNAcentral. Lineage: Eukaryota; Metazoa; Chordata; Mammalia; Carnivora; Canidae.